RNAcentral lists this transfer RNA (79 nucleotides) under Petrosia ficiformis. RNAcentral describes it as "tRNA-Tyr". It matches the Rfam family "tRNA". From Rfam's summary of the family: Transfer RNA (tRNA) molecules are approximately 80 nucleotides in length. Their secondary structure includes four short double-helical elements and three loops (D, anti-codon, and T loops). The record is from RNAcentral. Lineage: Eukaryota; Metazoa; Porifera; Demospongiae; Haplosclerida; Petrosiidae.
AGUGAGAUGGCAGAGUGGCAAUGCGUUCCGCUGUAAACGGAUUGGGAAACUAUCGAGAGUUCAAAUCUCUCUCUCACUA